CCACAUGUCUGAAUCCUUUUUUUACGAGCACCUUUCGUUCUCCUUCGGUGGGGCAACCUGCCGUUGGAACUUAUCAAAACCUUUUUUUGCAUCUAGCAUUACCUGUUCAGAUACAAACAAUCGUUACAACUUUCAACAAUGGAUCUCUUGGCUCUGGCAUCGAUGAAGAACGCAGCGAAAUGCGAUAAGUAGUGUGAAUUGCAGAAUUCAGUGAAUCAUCGAAUCUUUGAACGCACAUUGCGCCCCUUGGUAUUCCAUGGGGCAUGCCUGUUCGAGCGUCAUCUACACCCUCAAGCUCUGCUUGGUGUUGGGCGUCUGUCCCGCCUCUGCGCGUGGACUCGCCCCAAAUUCAUUGGCAGCGGUCUUUGCCUCCUCUCGCGCAGCACAUUGCGCUUCAGAGGGGUGUGGGCCGCGUCCACGAAGCAACAUUAUCGUCUUUGACCUCGGAUCAGGU
RNAcentral lists this ribosomal RNA (454 nucleotides) under Paraphaeosphaeria sp. 8.11A2. Its description in RNAcentral is "eukaryotic LSU rRNA". The stretch from base 128 to 281 matches the Rfam family "5.8S ribosomal RNA". Lineage: Eukaryota; Fungi; Ascomycota; Dothideomycetes; Pleosporales; Didymosphaeriaceae. The record is from RNAcentral.